Molecule: ribosomal RNA, 16 nt
Filed under: Macaca fuscata (Japanese macaque)
Lineage: Eukaryota; Metazoa; Chordata; Mammalia; Primates; Cercopithecidae
Description: 12S ribosomal RNA
Source: RNAcentral
AGGCUUGGUCCUGGCC